Molecule: ribosomal RNA, 447 nt
Filed under: uncultured bacterium
Lineage: Bacteria
Description: partial 16S ribosomal RNA
Rfam family: Bacterial small subunit ribosomal RNA
Source: RNAcentral
AACGAACGCUGGCGGCAGGCCUAACACAUGCAAGUCGAACGCCCCGCAAGGGGAGUGGCAGACGGGUGAGUAACGCGUGGGAAUCUCCCUUAUGGUACGGAAUAGCCCCGGGGAACUCGGAGUAAUACCGUAUAAGCUCGAAAGAGGAAAGAUUUAUCGCCAUAAGAUGAGCCCGCGUUGGAUUAGCUAGUUGGUGAGGUAGCGGCUCACCAAGGCGACGAUCCAUAGCUGGUCUGAGAGGAUGAUCAGCCACACUGGGACUGAGACACGGCCCAGACUCCUACGGGAGGCAGCAGUGGGGAAUAUUGGACAAUGGGCGCAAGCCUGAUCCAGCCAUGCCGCGUGAGUGACGAAGGUCUUCGGAUUGUAAAGCUCUUUUGGCGGGGACGAUAAUGACGGUACCCGCAGAAUAAGCCCCGGCUAACUUCGUGCCAGCCGCCGCGGUAA